CCUACGGGAGGCAGCAGUGGGGAAUAUUGGACAAUGGGCGAAAGCCUGAUCCAGCAAUGCCGCGUGAGUGAUGAAGGCCUUAGGGUUGUAAAGCUCUUUUACCAGGGAUGAUAAUGACAGUACCUGGAGAAUAAGCUCCGGCUAACUCCGUGCCAGCAGCCGCGGUAAUACGGAGGGAGCUAGCGUUGUUCGGAAUUACUGGGCGUAAAGCGUACGUAGGCGGUUAUUCAAGUCAGAGGUGAAAGCCUGGAGCUCAACUCCAGAACUGCCUUUGAAACUAGAUAGCUAGAAUCUUGGAGAGGUGAGUGGAAUUCCGAGUGUAGAGGUGAAAUUCGUAGAUAUUCGGAAGAACACCAGUGGCGAAGGCGACUCACUGGACAAGUAUUGACGCUGAGGUACGAAAGCGUGGGGAGCAAACAGGAUUAGAUACCCUGGCAGUCCACGACGUAACGANNAUACUANCUGUUCGGUCGUCUACGAGCUGUAGUGGCGC
Molecule: ribosomal RNA, 493 nt
Filed under: uncultured bacterium
Lineage: Bacteria
Description: bacterial SSU rRNA
Rfam family: Bacterial small subunit ribosomal RNA
Source: RNAcentral